AAACUAACAAGGAUUCCCCUAGUAGCGGCGAGCGAAGCGGGAAGAGCUCAAAUUUAUAAUCUGGCACCUUCGGUGUCCGAGUUGUAAUCUCUAGAAGUGUUUUCCGCGUUGGACCGCACACAAGUCUGUUGGAAUACAGCGGCAUAGUGGUGAGACCCCCGUAUAUGGUGCGGACGCCCAACGCUUUGUGAUACACUUUCGAAGAGUCGAGUUGUUUGGGAAUGCAGCUCAAAUUGGGUGGUAAAUUCCAUCUAAAGCUAAAUAUUGGCGAGAGACCGAUAGCGAACAAGUACCGUGAGGGAAAGAUGAAAAGCACUUUGGAAAGAGAGUUAACAGUACGUGAAAUUGUUGGAAGGGAAACGCUUGAAGUCAGACUUGCUUGCCGAGCAAUCGGUUUGCAGGCCAGCAUCAGUUUUCCGGGGUGGAUAAUGGUAGAGAGAAGGUAGCAGUUUCGGCUGUGUUAUAGCUCUUUGCUGGAUACACCUUGGGGGACUGAGGAACGCAGUGUGCCUUACGGCGGAUUUCUCGAGAUCUUCACACUUAGGAUGCUGGUGGAAUGGCUUUAAACGAC
RNAcentral lists this ribosomal RNA (571 nucleotides) under Rhodotorula taiwanensis. Its description in RNAcentral is "LSU rRNA". It matches the Rfam family "Eukaryotic large subunit ribosomal RNA", at positions 62 to 648 of the family's 3401-position model. The record is from RNAcentral. Lineage: Eukaryota; Fungi; Basidiomycota; Microbotryomycetes; Sporidiobolales; Sporidiobolaceae.